Molecule: ribosomal RNA, 2181 nt
Filed under: Triticum aestivum (bread wheat)
Lineage: Eukaryota; Viridiplantae; Streptophyta; Magnoliopsida; Poales; Poaceae
Description: partial small subunit ribosomal RNA
Source: RNAcentral
AUGUUCAGUUUUGGGAAAGUAUACCUCCCGCUGAAAGAACAGGGGAAAGACCAUUUCAUUUACGCCAAGGUCGCCCUGAUGUUGAUCACCAGCGGGGCGUUGGCAGUAGCAUGCCGCCUGGCCGGCCGCCUCUGCAACUACAUGGUUGAGGAGGAGAUAGGUGAGGUCGAGCCUGAGAUCCGUAGCAUGCAUGACUCCGUGGACAUGGCGGCGGCCAUGGUGUGUCGAGGGUCUGAUAAUGGACAUAACACAGCUACUGGAGAGGAGAUUAAAAUAUGGAAGAUAGCAACAGAGGGGGAAGCUGAGGCUGGUAGAUCCAUUGAGCAAGAGUGCCAGACCCAGAUGACGGUAAAUCAUUUUGAACUGUUGUGUUUUCGGUGGCACCUAAAUACAUUGGUCGAUCUGCACCAUGCUCUGCUCCUAUUGACUGUGCACAAUGCACAUGAAGCAGAAACUGACCACGAACUCCUCUCCCUCUCUCCCUCUCGCCCACGAACUCCUCGGCACCAACACCACCCGCGCCGCCGGCUUCCGGCGAGCUCCGACGCCGCGCAGCACGCCCCCAAGCCCCCCACGAUCCGCGCCUCCCUCCCCUCCUUCCAGAUUCUCCGUUCCCGGCCUCUAACGUCCGCUCGCAACCAAACCCCCGUGGCUAGGGUUUCGGGCUGGGCUUCGCCGGCGCGUCUCCGGCGGCCCCAGGUUCGUCCCUCCUUCCUUCUUGGCUGGGAUUUUUCACCCCUACACCUCACCAUCUCUUCAUAUCCUCUACUGCAGAUGCAGAUGGAGCACGCCAUGGGAGUUCCCCAUCCACCACGGUCACCGCCGUCAAGUGCUUCUUCACGGAGAUGUGAAGGACGCCAAGGACAUGCAGCUACUCAAGUAAUUUUCUCUGUUAACCUUGGGCCAGCUCAUUUGUGUGUGCUUCAUGUAUAUGCUCAUGCUUUUGAUGCUGCUGGACUUUGGAAUGCAUCCGCACAGUUGUCAUUAGUUACGAGAUGGUACAUCAGUGUCUCCACUCUAAAGAUGAAUAUAAUACGCCAAAAGGUACAUGAGUUGGAAGAAAGUCCAAGCAGAAGGAACUCCUGCAGAUGCCCAGGCUGCUACUGUGCCUAUCUUAAGUUGCAAGUCUUCUGUAAGAGCCUUGAUGUACUUUAUCUCAUGGUUUGGGUUGUGAAAGAAUUUUGGAAGGACCACAAGCCAUGGACAUGUGUUCUAUUUCUGAAAAAAGAAGCUUCUCUGUUAGCUAGCAUCCCCGACGAUCUUGGUGGCAAAAUUGCUCGCCAACUUUUUGGUGUGGCUGACUUUGGCGGGGCUGAUUGGGGCGCAAUCCAAACGCCCCCUGCAUCCCCUGAUGUUGAGCUAUAUGGACCAUAUGAGCAGAACCACGUUUCAAUGCAAAUCGUUAACUGGACUUCCCUGAUUGCGGUGCUGGCAGGGCUCGUGAUGGACAAGGCGAACGCAGCGGAUAGGGCACCAAAGGGGGCAUUCAACCCACGGUCCGAGCAGAUUUGUGUAAAGGAAAAAAACGCGACCACAAGAGGGAGCACGGGCUCGCCUCCUCUCCCUCAUCGCCGCCGCCGCCACCACCCACGCCGUCCGCUUCCGGCGACCUCCAACGCCGUGCAGCACGCCCCCGAGCUCUCCACGGGUUUCGGGCAGGGCUUCGUCGGAGCCACGAGAGCCAUGAGCGUGACGGAGGCUGGGGAAAGAAUGGAAACACUACUGCUCGCAAUGACAGGAUGGUGCUGUGCGUGCGCCGCCCCAAGGCCGCAACUGCUUCCUCCAGUCGUCCCUCCUCCAUGGCUACAUCUUGGUGAGAUCCCUUCCACCCAAGCCUCUCCCCCUUUCUUUUUUAAAACUGAUUCCCAAUUCCUUGAUCAAACCAUGCUCCUCUGCUCCUGUAGGUCUCGCUUAGCUACCAGUACAGUGCAGAUUGCUUUCUUUAUUCAAUUGAUUUUGUUGUCUAUGUAUUACCUGAACUCCAAGGGAACCAACUUACAUGGCGUAAUGGAUGGAGGUGUUAUUGGGGCUUAUUUUUUCAUGAUUGGAAACAAGAUGUUGCUGGUGUUGGAGCUCAUAGAGAAUGAAGAGAACACAUUUGGGUACACCUACCAGGACAGUUUGUUCUACGUUUAUCUUGCUUUGGGGUUGCAGACCCUAACAUAUCAAGAUAGCUCUUGA